CGCACUCCCAACUUGGAGAAGACGCACGUCAAACUGUCUGUCGAAGCGCGCACCAGUGGAGAAGACUCCUGCAAAUGCGCGUUCCCGGUCUAUGCGCGUGCCGUACACCAACCCCAGGCCAGUGCACUUCCCGAGCCAGAUUGAUUUAACAAACGUCCGGGGACAAUAAGGCCUAAGACAUCUUCAGUUAUGGCUGUUCUCUCUGCGAGGAGAUCCACAGGGCUCUUUCUUUGGAUUUUGGUGUUUCUCCUGCUCAUCUUCAUUGAGAUGUUAACCUCUCUGGUGCUCUUUGGUGGUGUGUUCAUCCUCUCCAGCGAAGCCCUCAUCAGCCCCUUUCACUUUUGUCUAACACGUCAACAUGGUGAACUGUCCUGCAACUACAGCAGACCUGUCAGUGGAGCUGAAUCUGAGAUAAAAAUUAUCAUCCUUGCAACAGCGGUUAUCCUGGGUUUGUACAUCCCUGUGGUGCUUGUGGCCUUUGCCCUGAUGACCAUGCUGCUAGCAGCUUACACCAAAGACACAGCAACACUCAGGUUCAGCAUGGCCUGCCAGGCUGCAUCAAUCCUACUGAUGCUGGCUGGCAUUAUAGUUUUUCUGAUACUCUAUGAGUCGUAUCUGAACUUGGAACACAUGACAAUUUGGUUCUAUGUUUGUGUGGGUGUGCCAUUUCAGCUGUUCAUCAUAACUGUGCUGACCGCCCGUGUCAGGGGAGAGGCUCACUGGGAGUAGAUGGGUCAAAGUGCUUGAUGAAGGUAUUAUCAAAACAGUGUUAUUGUUUUUUUUACAAUUCAAAUUACAUUAUUAUGUUAAAUGUCCUCUGUUAUGUUUUCACUAAAUAGUGACCAAAUCUUUUCUUUCGGGCAUUUGCUGCUGAAAACCAAGAGUUUUAUGACAGAGUUUAUGACAAACCUGUUUUUUGUUUUUCUUAAAUAGACUGGAGCAUACUGUAAUGCAUACUGUAGUACUGUAACAGUGUUUUUGAAUUCUACACAAACUGGUUUGUGUAAAUGACAGCCAAGACAAGUGUGUAAAU
Long non-coding RNA from Sander lucioperca (pikeperch), 1033 nucleotides. RefSeq lists it as uncharacterized. The record is from RefSeq and is a predicted model, not a curated record. The transcript has 2 exons. NCBI's taxonomy places the organism in Eukaryota, Metazoa, Chordata, Actinopteri, Perciformes, Percidae.